AGAGAGAGACAUGCGCGCAUAUCAAUAAGCGGAGGAAAAGAAACUAACAAGGAUUCCCUUAGUAACGGCGAGUGAAGCGGGAAGAGCUCAAAUUUGAAAUCUUCAAGGUUUUACCUUGACGAAUUGUAGUUUAAAGAAGUGUUUUCUGCUGAAGUUUUGGUAAAAGUUCUUUGGAAUAGGACAUCAUAGAGGGUGAGAAUCCCGUAUUUGACCAUUAUUUUCCAGCUUUGUGAUACACUUUCAAAGAGUCGGAUUGUUUGGGAAUGCAGUCCAAAAUGGGUGGUAAAUUUCAUCUAAAGCUAAAUAUUGGCGAGAGACCGAUAGCGAACAAGUACCGUGAGGGAAAGAUGAAAAGAACUUUGAAAAGAGAGUUAAACAGUACGUGAAAUUGUCAAAAGGGAAGCGUUUGACACCAGUGUUGUUUUCUCGAAAAUCAAUUAAAAAUGGCUCGAUUUUGUAUUGCUGAGACCUUAAAAGCUCACUGUACAUUUUUCGUGUCUUUUUUAAUGCACUUUUCGUUUAACAAGUCAACAUCAGUUUCUUUUGUUGUAAAAGGGUCAUUGGAAGGUGGCUUUCUUUUCGGAGAAAGUGUUUAUAGCCUUUGGCCUCUGCAAUCGGAGAGACUGAGGUCUGCAGCGUAGACUCUUCGGGGUUAGAUACAUUUGUGCUAAGUUAUAGCUUUUUAUAGACAACUUGUUGACUAUAAUUAGUCUUGUAGCUUACUCGCUUAUGCUAUUUUACCUACGCUUAGGAUGUUGAAGAUGUAGCACAUCAU
RNAcentral lists this ribosomal RNA (775 nucleotides) under uncultured Neocallimastigales. RNAcentral's name for it is "partial large subunit ribosomal RNA". It matches the Rfam family "Eukaryotic large subunit ribosomal RNA", at positions 23 to 634 of the family's 3401-position model. Lineage: Eukaryota; Fungi; Neocallimastigomycota; Neocallimastigomycetes; Neocallimastigales. The record is from RNAcentral.